GACAGAGGGUGCAAACGUUGUUCGGAAUUACUGGGCGUAAAGGGCUCGUAGGUGGCCAACUAAGUCAGACGUGAAAUCCCUCAGCUUAACUGGGGAACCGCGUCUGAUACUGGAUGGCUUGAGAUUGGGAGAGGGAUGCGGAAUUCCUGGUGUAGCGGUGAAAUGCGCAGAUAUCAGGAAGAACACCAAUGGCGAAGGCAGCUCUCUGGGACGGUACUGACGCUGAGACGCGAAAGCGUGGGGAGCGAACAGG
RNAcentral lists this ribosomal RNA (253 nucleotides) under uncultured bacterium. RNAcentral describes it as "partial 16S ribosomal RNA". It matches the Rfam family "Bacterial small subunit ribosomal RNA", at positions 524 to 776 of the family's 1533-position model. The record is from RNAcentral.